AGCGAACGCUGGCGGCAUGCCUAACACAUGCAAGUCGCACGGGGGGGCUUCGGCCUCCCAGUGGCGGACGGGUGAGGAACGCGUAGGGACCUGUCGAGGGGUGGGGGAUACCGCGGGAAAAUGCGGCCAAUAACGCAUGACGCCGCCGCGUGACCGCCGGGGCCAAAGGCGAAAGCCGCCCGCCGAGGGGCCUGCGUCCGAUUAGCUGGUUGGCGGGGUAGCGGCCCACCAAGGCGUCGAUCGGUAGCUGGUCUGAGAGGGUGAUCAGCCACACCGGGACUGAGACACGGCCCGGACUCCUACGGGAGGCAGCAGUGGGGAAUAUUGGACAAUGGGCGCAAGCCUGAUCCAGCAAUGCCGCGUGGGUGAAGAAGGUCUUCGGAUUGUAAAGCCCUUUCGGCGGGGACGAUGGUGACGGUACCCGCAGAAGAAGCCCCGGCUAACUUCGUG
RNAcentral lists this ribosomal RNA (450 nucleotides) under uncultured bacterium. RNAcentral's name for it is "partial 16S ribosomal RNA". It matches the Rfam family "Bacterial small subunit ribosomal RNA", at positions 28 to 507 of the family's 1533-position model. The record is from RNAcentral.